This 253-nucleotide ribosomal RNA is filed under the name uncultured bacterium. RNAcentral describes it as "partial 16S ribosomal RNA". It matches the Rfam family "Bacterial small subunit ribosomal RNA", at positions 524 to 776 of the family's 1533-position model. The record is from RNAcentral.
GACGGAGGGUGCAAGCGUUGCUCGGAAUCACUGGGCGUAAAGGGUGCGUAGGCGGUCUCGCAAGUCUGGCGUGAAAGCCCAAGGCUCAGCCUUGGAAGUGCGCUCGAAACGGCGAGGCUGGAGUGCCGGAGGGGAGAGUGGAAUUCCCGGUGUAGCGGUGAAAUGCGUAGAUAUCUGGAGGAACACCGGUGGCGAAGGCGGCAUCCUGGACCAAUUCUGACACUGAGGAGCGAAAGCCAGGGGAGCAAACGGG